GAUCCUGGCUCAGGACGAACGCUGGCGGCGUGCUUAACACAUGCAAGUCGAACGAGGAAUCUGUGGAACGAGGAUUCGUCCAAGUGAAGCAGAGGACAGUGGCGGACGGGUGAGUAACGCGUGAGGAACCUGCCUUUCAGAGGGGGACAACAGUUGGAAACGACUGCUAAUACCGCAUAACACAUGGGUGUCGCAUGGCACUGAUGUCAAAGAUUUAUCGCUGAAAGGAUGG
RNAcentral lists this ribosomal RNA (232 nucleotides) under uncultured bacterium. Its description in RNAcentral is "partial 16S ribosomal RNA". It matches the Rfam family "Bacterial small subunit ribosomal RNA", at positions 15 to 228 of the family's 1533-position model. The record is from RNAcentral.